This 1090-nucleotide ribosomal RNA is filed under the name Bacillus velezensis. RNAcentral's name for it is "bacterial SSU rRNA". It matches the Rfam family "Bacterial small subunit ribosomal RNA", at positions 421 to 1506 of the family's 1533-position model. The record is from RNAcentral. Lineage: Bacteria; Bacillati; Bacillota; Bacilli; Caryophanales; Bacillaceae.
GUUCGUAAGCUUUUUUGUUAGGAAGAACCAAUUCCGUUCAAGUAGGGCGGCACGUGACCGUACCUAACCAGAAAGCCACGCCAAGUACGUGCCCGCAGCCGCUGUAAUAGGUAGGUGGCAAGCCGUGUCCUGUAAUUAUUGGGCGUAAAGGGCUGGCGGGCGGUUUUUUAAGUUUGAUGUGAAAGCCCCCGGCUCAAUCGGGGAGGGUCAUUGGAAACUGGCGAACUUGAGUGCAGAAGAGGAGAGUGGAAUUCCACGUGUAGCGAUGAAAUGCGUAGAGAUGUGGAGGAACACCAGUGGCGAAGGCGACUCUCUGGUCAGUAACUGACGUUGAGGAGCGACAGCGUGGGGAGCGAACAGGAUUAGAUACCCUGGUAGUACACGCCGUAAACGAUGAGUGGUAAGUGUUAGGGGGUUUCCGCCCCUUAGUGCUGCAGGUAACGCAUUAAGCAUUCCGCCUGGGGAGUACGGUCGCAAGACUGAAACUCAAAGGAAUUGACGGGGGGCCGCACAAGCGGUGGAGCAUGUGGUUUAAUUCGAAGCAACGCGAAGAACCUUACCAGGUCUUGACAUCCUCUGACAAUCCUAGAGAUAGGACGUCCCCUUCGGGGGCAGAGUGACAGGUGGUGCAUGGUUGUCGUCAGCUCGUGUCGUGAGAUGUUGGGUUAAGUCCCGCAACGAGCGCAACCCUUGAUCUUAGUUGCCAGCAUUCAGUUGGGCACUCUAAGGUGACUGCCGGUGACAAACCGGAGGAAGGUGGGGAUGACGUCAAAUCAUCAUGCCCCUUAUGACCUGGGCUACACACGUGCUACAAUGGACAGAACAAAGGGCAGCGAAACCGCGAGGUUAAGCCAAUCCCACAAAUCUGUUCUCAGUUCGGAUCGCAGUCUGCAACUCGACUGCGUGAAGCUGGAAUCGCUAGUAAUCGCGGAUCAGCAUGCCGCGGUGAAUACGUUCCCGGGCCUUGUACACACCGCCCGUCACACCACGAGAGUUUGUAACACCCGAAGUCGGUGAGGUAACCUUUAUGGAGCCAGCCGCCGAAGGUGGGACAGAUGAUUGGGGUGAAGUCGUAACCAGGAGCCUCGCG